UACGGAGGGAGCUAGCGUUGUUCGGAAUUACUGGGCGUAAAGCGCACGUAGGCGGCUCAGCAAGUCAGGGGUGAAAUCCCGGGGCUCAACCCCGGAACUGCCCUUGAAACUGCUAAGCUAGAAUCUUGGAGAGGCGAGUGGAAUUCCGAGUGUAGAGGUGAAAUUCGUAGAUAUCGGGAGGAACACCAGUGGCGAAGGCGGCGAUCUGGGAAGAUACUGACGCUGAGGUGCGAAAGCGUGGGGAGCAAACAGG
This 253-nucleotide ribosomal RNA is filed under the name uncultured bacterium. Its description in RNAcentral is "partial 16S ribosomal RNA". It matches the Rfam family "Bacterial small subunit ribosomal RNA", at positions 524 to 776 of the family's 1533-position model. The record is from RNAcentral.